AUCCGGCUGACGAGUCCCAGAUAAAACGAAACGCGCGUCCUGGGU
RNAcentral lists this non-coding RNA (45 nucleotides) under Schistosoma margrebowiei. The record is from RNAcentral. Lineage: Eukaryota; Metazoa; Platyhelminthes; Trematoda; Strigeidida; Schistosomatidae.